UGCUACUUACAGAUGGGCCUGCGGCGCAUCAGCUUGUUGGUGGGGUAAUGGCCUACCAAGGCGACGACGGGUAGCCGACCUGAGAGGGUGACCGGCCACACUGGGACUGAGACACGGCCCAGACUCCUACGGGAGGCAGCAGUGGGGAAUAUUGCACAAUGGGCGAAAGCCUGAUGCAGCGACGCCGCGUGAGGGAUGACGGCCUUCGGGUUGUAAACCUCUUUCAGCAGGGACGAAGCGAGAGUGACGGUACCUGCAGAAGAAGCACCGGCCAACUACGUGCCAGCAGCCGCGGUAAUACGUAGGGUGCGAGCGUUGUCCGGAAUUACUGGGCGUAAAGAGCUCGUAGGCGGUUUGUCGCGUCGUCUGUGAAAACCAGGGGCUCAACCCCUGGCUUGCAGGCGAUACGGGCAGACUUGAGUACUGCAGGGGAGACUGGAAUUCCUGGUGUAGCGGUGAAAUGCGCAGAUAUCAGGAGGAACACCGGUGGCGAAGGCGGGUCUCUGGGCAGUAACUGACGCUGAGGAGCGAAAGCGUGGGUAGCGAACAGGAUUAGAUACCCUGGUAGUCCACGCCGUAAACGGUGGGCGCUAGGUGUGGGUUUCCUUCCACGGGAUCCGUGCCGUAGCUAACGCAUUAAGCGCCCCGCCUGGGGAGUACGGCCGCAAGGCUAAAACUCAAAUGAAUUGAC
This 691-nucleotide ribosomal RNA is filed under the name uncultured bacterium. Its description in RNAcentral is "bacterial SSU rRNA". It matches the Rfam family "Bacterial small subunit ribosomal RNA", at positions 213 to 914 of the family's 1533-position model. The record is from RNAcentral.